GACGAACGCUGGCGGCGUGCUUAACACAUGCAAGUCGAACGGAAAGGCCUGCUUUCCCUUGUGGAUUGCGGGUACUCGAGUGGCGAACGGGUGAGUAACACGUGAGUGAUCUGCCCCCAACUUGGGUAUAAGCCUGGGAAACUGGGUCUAAUUCCCGAUAGGACUGCAGGGUGGUGCCUGUGGUGGAAAACGAUUUUCUAGUGGUUGGGGAUGAGCUCGCGGCCUAUCAGCUUGUUGGUGGGGUAAUGGCCUACCAAGGCGGCGACGGGUAGCCGGCCUGAGAGGGUGGACGGCCACAUUGGGACUGAGAUACGGCCCAGACUCCUACGGGAGGCAGCUGUGGGGAAUAUUGCACAAUGGGCGGAAGCCUGAUGCAGCGACGCCGCGUGGGGGAUGACGGCCUUCGGGUUGUAAACUCCUUUCGACCGCGAGGAAGCCACCUGGUUGGAAGGGUGGUGACGGUAGUGGUAGAAGAAGCACCGGCUAACUACGUG
RNAcentral lists this ribosomal RNA (494 nucleotides) under uncultured bacterium. Its description in RNAcentral is "partial 16S ribosomal RNA". It matches the Rfam family "Bacterial small subunit ribosomal RNA", at positions 28 to 507 of the family's 1533-position model. The record is from RNAcentral.